Long non-coding RNA from Nicotiana tabacum (common tobacco), 1247 nucleotides. RefSeq lists it as uncharacterized. Lineage: Eukaryota; Viridiplantae; Streptophyta; Magnoliopsida; Solanales; Solanaceae. The record is from RefSeq and is a predicted model, not a curated record.
CCUAUUUUGAAAAAAGGCUAGAGACCUAAUUCAAUUCCCCUCCCCUUGAAAGAAACCACAGAAACGGCGCAUCUGAGAUUUCUUCCUCUUAUCCAUUCUUUCUUCUUCCCCACUUCUCACUCAACCCAAGCGACCACCGUGAAGAACAGACCAUCACCCCUUCCGGUCUGCUCACACCUCUUCGUCUCACCUCUCUUAGGACUCAAAGAAAGAUCUGAAAUUCUGAAAAAGGGGAAAAAACAAAGAGAUAAAGAAAAAAAACAAAGAAGAAAUAAGAAUUAGACAUUGGGAUUUGAAGAGAAGAGCUUGAUUUCUUUUCUUCCCAGAUUUCACAAGUUGCUUCACUUAGCUGACAUUCUGUGCAAUAUCUGGGAUUUUCGAGUUUAGAUCGAGCUAUUAAAGGACUAUUUUUGCUGAAAUCGUUGUUGCUGCUUAGUUAAGCUCGGUUCAUCUUCGUCUCUAUCUUUACUUGGCUCAUUGUGGACUAUUUUUUCGGCUAUUCAGCUACUGAAAAUUAAUUGAAAUCUAAAUUUCAGGUUUGAUCGACAAAGUGACGAAAUAUCAAAGAUCGGCUCAGACGGAGUGAAACCUACUCAAGUAUCAAAGACAAAGUAAACUGAGGGCAAACAAGCCUAGUGCGGACCGCACAAAAUGGAAUGCGGCCGCACUAGGUGAUUCAGAGAGAUGGCAAGAUCAGGCUUCAAGCAACGCGGCCGCAAUCCACAGUGCGCGGUCUGCGGUGAAAGUUUCGUGGUCGCACUGCCUUUUUGUGCGGUACACGAAAGAGGUAUUCAGAUAGAUGACAAAAACCAGGCCUCAGGAAACGCGACCGCAGUCCAUAGUGUGUGGUCCACGGUGAAGGUUCCGCGGCCGAACUGCCUUCUUGUGCGGUCCGCGGAAGAGAUAUUCAGAGAGAUGGAAAAUGCUAACGCGGUCUACGGUCAUUAUUGUGUGGACCGCGAUAGCUGCCUCCGCGGCCGCGGUCCAUUUUACGCGAUCCGCGAAGCCCAAGUCAAAGAACCCAAAAUUAAAGUCCAAGAGCCUAGCACAGCAGCGGUCCAUUUUACGCGGCCCGCACUGACCCCGCAUGGGUAUUUUUUUCCAGUUUUUCCAGCCUAGUUUAAAUAGAACAAUUUAUCAUUUUUAGGUUAUGAGAUAUAUCCAGAACUUAGCUGGGCUCGUGGGAACUUCAUCUGUAGCCAUUUUUGGCAUCUUAGCUUCAAGUUAACGAUAGAUUCUUGUAUUUU